This 1472-nucleotide long non-coding RNA is filed under the name Gossypium barbadense (sea-island cotton). RNAcentral's name for it is "long non-coding RNA (GBAR_LNC001946)". Lineage: Eukaryota; Viridiplantae; Streptophyta; Magnoliopsida; Malvales; Malvaceae. The record is from RNAcentral.
UUGGAAGAACUGUAUGAAAGAAAUCAGUUAAAUUGUUGUUGUUAAUGAGAAGUGAGUAAAUGGAUGUUUGAAAUAUCUUUGUAUGGUGGAUUGAAUGCUACUGUAUAUUGUUGCUCAUUACCCUAAACCCUAAACCCAACUUAAACCUUAAACCCUAAACCCUAAACCUUUUAUUUAAUAAAUGGUUGUUGUUGUUUAAAUGCUGUAAAUUGAAGUGUUUAAAUGUUGUAAAUUUAAGUGUUUAAAUAUUGCAAUUUGAAGUGUUUAGUUGCUGCAAAAUUGAGAUGUUUUAUUGCUGUAAUUGAGGUGUAUAAAUUUUGUUAAUUGAGAUGUUAAAGUGCUGCAAAUUGAAGUGUUUAAAUGCUGUAAAUUGAAUUGCUUAAAUGUUGUAAAUUGAAGUGUUUAAGUACUGCAAAUUGAAGUGUUUAGUUGCUGAAAAUUGAGAUGUUUUAUCGCUACAAUUGAGGUGUAUAAAUCUUGUUAAUUGAGAUGUUAAAGUACAUCAAAUUGAAGUGUUUAAAUGCUGUAAAUUGAAGUGUUAAAGUGCUGCAAAUUGAAGUGUUAAAGUGCUGUAAAUUGAAGUGUUUAAAUGUUGUAAAUUGAAGUGCUUAAAUGUUGUAAAUUGAACUGUUUUAAGUACUGCAAAUUGAAGUGUUUAGUUGCUGGAAAUUGAGAUGUUUUAUCACUGUAAUUGAGGUGUAUAAAUGUUGUUAAUUGAGAUGUUAAAGUGAUGCAAAUUGAAGUGUUUAAAUGCUGUAAAUUGAAGUGUUAAAGUACUGCAAAUUGAAGUGUUUGAAUGUUAUAAAUUGAAGUGUUUAAAUGUUGUAAAUUGAAGUGUUUAAGUACUGCAAAUUGAAGUGUUUAGUUGUUGGAAAUUGAGAUGUUUUAUCGCUGUAAUUGAGGAGUAUAAAUGUUGUUAAUUGAGAUGUUAAAGUGCUGCAAAUUGAAGUGUUAAAAGUGCUACAAAUUGGAGUGUUUAAAUGUUGUAAAUUGAAGUUUUUAAGUACUGCAAAUUGAAUAGUUUAGUUGCUGAAAUUUAGUUUAUGUGCCAUGUUAUGAUUGUGUUUUAAAAUUUAACUUGUUUUAGUUCCUUACAUUCUUACAGGAUUCACAUUCAAGGAGUAAGAAACAUCGUAGCAACUCAUUGGGAUUGAACAGUCAGAAUUCAGAAUCAAGCGACACGCAAGAGCUAUAUUUGGAGCUUAGACUGUCACUGUAAUCAGUAAAUUUUUUCUGCCACUUUAAAUGCAUGCUCAUGGAACUGCAUUUUAUGCUUUCCUAGAAUUGUAAGUUCAAAUAAGGUGUUGAUCUUGCAAUUAAUACAUACAACUUGAGCAAGUUGAUAUGAACUAGUUUGAAUUUUUUUAAUCAAAGGAAUCUUAUGUAAUCGAAGGCAAUUUGACUUGCUACAUGAGAUAUAGUGAAAAACAUUGAUCUUCUUGUUCAUGAAUUUCUAUUUGAAUACGUCUUCA